Long non-coding RNA from Dromaius novaehollandiae (emu), 2507 nucleotides. RefSeq lists it as uncharacterized. The record is from RefSeq and is a predicted model, not a curated record. The transcript has 2 exons. NCBI's taxonomy places the organism in Eukaryota, Metazoa, Chordata, Aves, Casuariiformes, Dromaiidae.
UCAGUGCCUAUCUCUGCCAAUCAUGGACUGACUUAAACUGCCCUGGGACUUUAGGGUCACUUAAACACCCAGCUUCCAAAGUUAUUUUUACAAGCAAAACAGCCGUGUAUCUCAUUUUAACAACUCCUGUCUGUUCUUUGUGAAGAAGAGUCAUUUGUGAACUUCCUAAUUGCUUGCACCAAAAACAGCAGCAGUGAUUUGUAAGACUGUCAUUAACAAAUGAUUGUUCUGGAUAAUCACUGCUCCAAUAUUAACUGCUUUAGAAGAAGCUGGGCCUUGACCUUCUUCAAGGCCUUGCUGCAGAGAAUGCCAUGCGAGAGACAUCGCUGUGAGCUUUUUGAAAAGAGCUUCAUCAAAUUCUCUUUUCUGGAAAGUUUGCCUGCUAUGGAGCCUAUAUUACUAUAUCCUCUGCCAUUCUACAUCACCGCUGAUGGCAUCCAGGAUGGGAAAAAGAAAGGUUUCUUUGAGUUACUUCUUCAUCUUCUCCAAUCAGAGGGCUGCCAACAGUUCCAUGGACUCCCAAAAUGAAUUAAGUCAACUAGCUAGGGAGUAAGCACAUAAACGUUAGUGCUUCCACAGCUUGAGUUUGAACAUUGGUUAGACUGGCUUGUGACUGUGGGUUUGGGCCUUCUCUGUGGUCUCCAUAACACUGAGCUGAUGGGCAGUGCUCUACAAGAAUGUUAAUGGCAGAGGAAGAUCUUGGGCGAGUAUAAGGAAAUAUAUUGCUACAAACAUUGUCUCUCUUGUAUUCUUAGACAUCAUGGCAAAAAACAAUGCUAUUGAAAUACGGCAAAUACAUUUUCAUCAUGCUCAUUCUGAUUUCCCAAAGAAAAGGCAGUAUGAAGGGUUAAUGGUAAGUGAAUCAGUAAUCUCCAAAUGGCAAUCCUUCAGCUAUCUAUAUACUGAUUUCUGAAAAAACAAUUUCGAAUUCAGCUUUCAUAUUCUUUUAUGCUGCAAAUUGUUGUUCUAUUGAGUUUAAAUAGCAGCUGGGACAAUUUGAUAAAAAUGCACAGAAAUAUUAGAAGAUUUAAUCCAAACAUUUACCAGAGCUGUGAAGCCUGUAAUUUUGCAGUACAGAAAAUAUGAAUGAUGCAAUGCCAUCAGGGAACUUGAAUACUAUAAGUUAACAGCUGCAACUUCAUAUAACUGUGCAUCACGCUGCAAUCAUAAACCCAAGCUAUGAGCACUCUUCCCAGUCUGAACACUCAAGAUCAAUUUGAAUAUAAAUGAUUCACCCAUAACUUGGAAGCAAAGCAAAGUGGAUGAAAUUAAUUAUUCACAAAUUGGUCUUGAAGAGGUGAAUACCAUAGGGUCAGAACUUCACAAACCAGUUAUGAAUACCGCAGCACAAUUCCCAUUAUCCUAGGAGUGUGUUUUGGGUGGUUUGUUGGGUCUGUGUAUUAAGAACCAGUUUUUAUAUUUUCUCUUCGCUAGCUAAUCUCAAAAAGACUCAAGGACAUUGUGCUGAAGUUUCAGUGGAAGUGAAUCAACAUCCUGCUCUUUUAAACCUUUUAAUAUAUUGCAGUACCUGCAGUCCCACUUUACUCCCCUUUACUCCCCUACUGCUCCUGAUCAUUCCUUUGUGCUUUUUUUGAACCAGAUUUAUCUUAGGUAUGUCCUAAAUUUAGCCAGGUGUCUCCAAAUUUGCAAAUGAGAAGCUUGAGGUAAAGCCAACUGACCUUAAUGGAAAUACCAGUAGUCAGCGUCUUUUAGUUCACAGUCCCUGUGAUUUUUUUGGACAAUGUAGAGGGAUAUUCAUUUUAAGUGCAUAUUUCAUACUUAGAGGUAGCUUUGGCCUAACUUACCUCUUUCAUUGCAAAUCUGUCUCAGCCCUCAGUCAUAGCUUGUAGACAUGACUAAAUCAAGCCAGUAGCUACCAUACAAAGCCAGCUGGAAUCUGUCUGCUUACCUAAAGACCUUGCAGAUUUUAAAUUGGAUAAUCCUCCUUCUCUUUGAACACUAUUAGGUGAGAUAAAUGUCUCAGUCUUGUGUCUGGACAUGGGCUGGAUAAAUGGCUAUCAUACAGAAAAGUCAUGAGUAGUAUUGCAACUGCUGAGGAAAAUUUCACAUAUGCUCUACCAUGUUGUGUUGUCAAGUCUCCGAAUCAGCAUGAAGAAAGGGCAUGUUGCUCACAAUGCUAGCACAUAUGAUUAAAGAUACAGUGAGAUAAGUAGCAAUCUCUCACAAAAGAUUUAAAAAUCACUUAUUUAGAAAACGGAUGCUUCCAAAUUACUGAGCAAGACAAACAGCUCACAGGGAAAACUUGAUCUUAUUACAAUCUGAACUACCAGCUACUCUACCACCAUAGCUCAGAAUAUUCAAAUGUUCUGGGAUAUCUUCCAAAAUCUGUGUCCCUAUCAAUCUUCAUAUGUUAGCUUUAAAAUGCUCUUUUCUUUCUUUUUUUCUUGUUUUAAAAGACAUUUUUCAUUCACUUUUAUUGCUUUUCUUAUGAAUCCUUAAGAGCUGUACAAUGUAUAAGACAUUAAAAUAUCCAUUUCCUGAACAAA